Molecule: long non-coding RNA, 1703 nt
Organism: Zingiber officinale
Lineage: Eukaryota; Viridiplantae; Streptophyta; Magnoliopsida; Zingiberales; Zingiberaceae
Exons: 2
Source: RefSeq, a predicted model, not a curated record
ACAAAAACAAUGCCAGCUCUGCUUUAAUGGAGGCAGAGGCAUGGUGGAUCCGGGAAUGAAUUAGUGAGGUUUCAAGAUUUGGUGGAUCUCAAGUUUGAAUGGAAAGCUUCUUCUUUCCAUGUAAUAAUAAUAGGACAAAGAGGUCAGACUAGGAUGGGAUAAACUUUAAAUUGAAUCAGGUAGUCACAGUCAAGCCCGAGAUAAAGAAUCUAUCUACAGGGCUGAGCAGCGGCAACCCUGCAGUUACUUUUCCAUACUGCAAUUCUGUGAGCUUAAAACUCUCUCUCUAUCUACUUUUACCAAAAAAUUCUCAGAAUCAAAUUCAAACAACUACUGAUAUUAAUAUUAAGUUUCUGUUUUCCGAGUUUAUGCCCACCAAAUGAUGGUCAUUUAAUGGUCACUGUUACAGAGUGAGGUAGCUCUUAAAUUUCUUGUUUGUAUCAACAGGCCUCAUACCAACCCUAUCACUUGAGCUGUUGAUGGCAUUGAAUGCCAAAUAUUGUACGGGAGCUUUUGGUUUAAGAAUUGCAAAUCUAACCAUAUCAAUCUACUCUCCUAUUUCUACCCACAUCUAAAUAGGCUGGAUUUGCCAGUUUAAAUGGAGGAGCUUAACGGAGAAUUAGUUAAAUUAACAUGGGAGUAAUGAGCAAAUUAGAGAAGGAUUGAGGGGUGACAAACCAUGAAUGAGGGAGAAGAGACUGCCGUUGGGGAAGUAGUCGUAGACGAGGAGACGCUCCUCUUUGGCCUGGAAGUAAGCGCGAAGGGGGACGAGGUUGGGGUGGCGCAGACGGCCGAGCUCCUCCAUGCGCCGCCCGAACUCCUCUGGGGGCGGGCGGGAGGCAUCCUUGAGACGCUUCACCGUCACGAUGAAUCCGGACUCCAUCACCGCCUUGUAGGUGCUUCCGACCGUCCCCCGCCCCAGCGUCUCCGCCGAAGCCCGCAAUAGCUCCUCCAGACUGUACAUCUCACCGACAGCGCCGCAGAAUACGAGCUUUCCGAGCCCCUCCGCUUCCCACGAGAAACCGCCUUUGUCUCCUCUUCCUCCUCCACUGCCGCCGACGGCUGCCCCGCCUUCUUCAUCUGGCUUGUUGCGGCCAGCACCUGAUUCGUAACCGACUGAUCGGGUCUCAACCACCGGCCGCCUCCGGUUCCUAUUGCAGAACCAAAGCAACGCGAGGGCCAAGCAAAUUGACAAGAAGAGAGCCCCCGCGACAGACCCGGCGACGAUGGCAAUGGCCCGCCUCCUGCUGUGGUUGCUGCCGGUGGGAGGCAGGAAAGGUGGGAAGGCAUUUACAUGAUCCAAAGACGAUCCCGGGCUGAUAGAAGACGGCGGAAAAAUCAAUUUUUGAGUGCAGGGAACCCCAAUUUGAGCCCCGCAGAGGUUUGCAUUGUCGUGGAAAGAGGAAGCAUUGAACUGUGAAAGGGCUCUGGUGGCGGGGAUCUCGCCGGAGAGGUCGUUCCCAGAGACGUUGAGGUAUCGAAGACUGGGUUGGUUGAAUGCUGGGAUUUGCCCCGUGAGGCGAUUAUCCUCGAGCAUGAGCUCAUACAACCGCGGGAGGCUGACGAGAGACACCGGGAUUGGGCCGGAAAGGAGAUUUCCAGAGAGGGCAAUCACCUUCAGACGGUGUAGCAAGUCGAGAUUGGCUGGAAUCUGGCCGGAGAACUGGUUUUCGCUGAGGUAGAGAGAUUUGAGGUUGACGAGG